Molecule: long non-coding RNA, 3584 nt
Organism: Anopheles funestus (African malaria mosquito)
Lineage: Eukaryota; Metazoa; Arthropoda; Insecta; Diptera; Culicidae
Exons: 3
Source: RefSeq, a predicted model, not a curated record
AAACGCGUGUUUUCUAACUGCGCCCACGCGUCCCUUUGGCUUACUGCUUCAAAGGUAGGCUACCCCUUUGCCAAUGGUGUCUUAUGCAAUCGGUUUAACGUUCCUCUUCCUCUUGCAGCUGACUCAUACUUCUUGUUAGUCGUCCUCGAAUAUGGUAUGCACCUGCCAAUGGAAGUGAAAGACAAGCCAACCUUAGUAUUGGUUGUUUUUGCUGCGAAUCGGUUCUAAAUUGGUUUGUAUCGCAGCUAACGAUUCUCGAAGAAGUGUCAGUGUCCUAAUCUUCCUUAUUUUCAUUGCUCAACAAACAGGAUAGUGGAAACCGCUCUUGUUGACACUCUACAUAGGCGCUGGAUUGGAUUUUUCUUCGCUCUGCUCACAGUGCGUGACCUUGGUUUGUUGUGGCAAUCUAUCAGUCAAUUAACAGUCCCUUCAGGUAAGUAUUGUCCAUUCUUUUGGACGAUUGUUGUAUUGUUUUACGUAUGUAUAUCUAAUGAAGCAUACUUUUUCAGGCAAAACACGUUCAGUCCUCCGUACACAUCUGAUUUCCGUAAGAAUUACGCCUCAAAUUCGAAGGAGACAAUGUUCUAUCUGCACCUAGCACCUCUACAAACCGUGACCGAUAAAGCUAGCCUUUGAUCCUCCGUAUACGAUAAUAUACUGCGCCAAAGUUGAAGGUCGGUCGAAUCAUAAACUAACUAAGGAAUCGCCACUCGUUACGAGAUUAUUAUUGGUUGGAACCUUGUUUUUCGCCGUUUGUUAUACAUUCCAUUUGCAGAUACAAAAUGGAGUAAAAUAUGCAAAACAUCGCGUGAUAAUGCGGUCAAAAUGAAAUCCAGAUCGCACACGAUAACAAACUCAAAGGCACGAUGUUAGUUUGUUUCGAAACACGCUGAAAAUUCCAUUGAAAAUUUUCGCCAGGACCUAUUUGAUUGAUGUAGGAUAUGAAUCUCUUCGAAACUUGAUCUUGGAAUGGAGAAAAUGUCCACGAUGAUGUAUUGUUUAUGCUGCACCGAUCGAACCAGACCGCGUGAUUAUGAAAACGGUAACAAAUCGUGGGCAGAAUAAUGUGGACCAGGAUUAGAAACCCAUGGCUAAGCUGGCGCAGAAUACGAGCGUUGAAAAUUGUACGCUGUCUGGAUGGAUGCUGGAAUUUUUCUGAGGUAUGGUCUAAAACUAUGUAGAUAAUAAGAAUAGAAAAAAGGUAUGAAGCGUAAGAUGUUGAUAUUAUUAUGGUUCUAAAACACUACAUGUUAAUUGUUAUCUUUUUACGCUUGCCAUAAAACCAGGAAAAAUAAAAAAAUAAUAUUAUAUUUGUUAAAAACAAAAAAUGUUUUCAUUGCACCGUUGAAAAUCAACGGUGCGGAAAGAACGAUUGAAAAUGAACAUUACAGCGUAAAAAUGAACCUAACGAAAACGCGCUCAUGAAAUAAUGAAUCUCACGCACACACUCUCAAAAAACGGCUUCACAAGAUCUGCUGUGAAGCUUUUGUGAAGCCGCUUGUGAAGCCGUGAAUUUUACUCGAAAUUCACUCUCAGGCGAGCAGUUUGUCGAUAGGGAUCGAGGAUUGUAUGCGUACAAUCGACUGACGCCGGGAGUGAAGGUUGCAUCAGGUGCCUUUCAGCAGUUUAUAGAGACCAUGCUGGCUGGACUAAAGGAUGUGCCGGUGUAUCUGGAUGAUAUAGUCAUCGGUGGAGCUGAUGAACAUAGCCACAAGAUGAACCUGCGUGCAGUGCUAGCGAAGCUGCGGGAGUAUGGAUUCAAAAUCAGACCAGAGAAGUGUAUUUUUUUACAAAUACAGAUUAAAUAUCUUGCUCACAUUUUAGAUUGCGAAGGUCAACGCCCGGAUCCCUCUAACAUAGAAGCGAUCGUGAAUAUGCCCACACCGAAGAAUCCAUCCGAGGUACGUUCAUUCUUAGGGGCGAUAAACUAUUACGAAAAGUUUGUGCCCCAGAUGAGGAAUCUACGAUAUCCGCUGGAUGACUUGCUUAAGAAAGAUGGUUAUUGGCAAUAGAGUCCAGAAUGUCAAUCUUCUGUUGACAUACUACGUUCCGAGGAAGCCGAUAAUUAUAGCGGCCGAUGCAUCAUCAGUGGGUAUUGGAGCCACGGUCAGCUACAAAAUGUCGAACAGAGCUAUAAAAAUAAUUCAACAUGAAUCCCGCGCCCUAAUAAAAACGGAAAUGGGUUACAGCCAACCAGAUCGCGAAGGAUUCGCGUUAAUAUAUGCGAUUACUAAGUUCCACCGAAUGAUUUUCGGACAUCGAUUUACAUUGCAAACCGAUCAUGCACCCUUGCAGCGAAUUUUGGUUCGCGAAUGGGAAUACCAGUCUAAACGGUGAAUAGAUUGCAACUUUGUGCUUUAACACUGCUGAUGCAUGACUUUAAAAUUGAAUAUGUGUCAACGGAGAAGUUCAGAAAUGCCGACGUACUGUCUCGCUUGAUAGCAAACUAUCAGAACCCGAUCCGAAAUAUGUUAUUGCGAGUGUCGAAACAGAAAGGGAUGUGCGGGCCGUGAUAGGCAUUAUAACGCAAAUAAUGCCACUGACGUUUGGAGAAGUCUUGCGUGAAACUAACAAAGACCCUUUACUAAGAGAGGUACUAGAUUUUGUUGUAUACGGUUGGCCAAAGAAGAAGGUAGAAAAGUUAGAGCUGCGAAACUUCCAAGUCAGAAGCGAGUCUUUGUCCACAGUAAAUAAACGGAUGUUUACUUUUUGGCGAGCGGUUAGUAAUUUCUGGACCUCAGAGGAAGAAAUACUUGCAGCAGUUACAUGAAGGUCAUCCUGGCAUGGAUAAAAUGAAGGCCUUUGCUAGAACCUAUGUAUAUUGGCCCGGAAUAGAAUGUGAUGUCGAUAAAAAGGACCGAAGAUGCCAACAAUGUGCAGCAGUUGCUAACACACCAGCUGAUAGUAUUCCAAUCUCAAGGCCAGAAUCAACUGCUCCGCGGCAGCGAGUACAUGUGGACUACGCUGGCUGUAAUUGAAUCGUUUUCUAAAUGGCCGGAGAUAGUGGCGACUACAACCAUUGCAUCAAACGCAACCAUUAAGAUACUACGAGGUCUGUUCAGUCGUUUAGUGAGCGACAAUGGGUUGCAGUUUACCAGCGCGGAUUUUGAAAUGUUUUGUACAACCAACGAGAUUGAACAUCUGCGCACGGCCUCCUACCAUCCGCAGUCAAACGGACAGGCGCAAAGAAUCGUAGAUACGUUUAAACGGGCGUUAAGGAAAAUGGAACGGGAAGGUAAGACAGAACAAGAGGCUUUAGAUAUCUUUUUAAUGACAUAUCGUAGUACGCCACACAAACAGUCGAGUUUGGUUCUAGAGCUCGAAGUGAACGGACGUAAAUCAGGAGUGAAAAAUAUACAGUGACAACAUGGAGAAGAGAGAAGCUACUCUGAGAGUAGAUUUCUCACAUCUACCAGUAAAGCCACCCGUUAAAGAUGUGAUGGAUUUCAUCACAUCUAAAUUGCAACUAACAAAAGAACAAGUUGUACGCAUACAUCUGCGUACAAGCAGCAUCAACGCCUUUAUAGAUUUAAAGGACGAGAGCGUGGCUCUAAAGAUCGUCGAAAACAACGAUGGAAAGCACA